Haliotis rufescens (red abalone) is the source of this 229-nucleotide long non-coding RNA. RefSeq lists it as uncharacterized. Lineage: Eukaryota; Metazoa; Mollusca; Gastropoda; Lepetellida; Haliotidae. The record is from RefSeq and is a predicted model, not a curated record. The transcript is spliced from 4 exons.
CACAAGAGGCUACUGGAGUUGGCGUCGCUUCGACCGUCCCUGUGGCUGCUGUCUGUUCUGUCCUGAUCGUCGUCACCGCUGUGGUCGUCAUAUUUCUUGUUCGUAGAAAACAGACACGUGAAGAGAGGGGAUACAUUCAUAACCGCGUAGUCACAUAUACCCGGGACGAGGAAACAGACGGAAGCUACCAGGAAAUAGAAGAGGGAGGAUCCAUUCAAAAUCGGUGAGU